CGCACAUUGCGCCCGCCAGCAUUCUGGCGGGCAUGCCUGUUCGAGCGUCAUUUCAACCCUCGAGCCCACUCUCCCCACGUGUGGGGGGUUGCAGGGCCCGGUGUUGGGGAUUCGACCCCCCCUUUCGAGGACGGUCGGCCCCGAAAUCCAGUGGCGGUCGUGCCGCGGGCUCCUCUGCGUAGUAGCAACACCUCGCACUGGCACCCGGCGCGUCCACGCCGUAAAUCAGACGAAUCUUCUGAAGGUUGACCUCGGAUCAGGUAGGAAUACCCGCUGAACUUAA
Molecule: unclassified non-coding RNA, 283 nt
Filed under: Purpureocillium lilacinum
Lineage: Eukaryota; Fungi; Ascomycota; Sordariomycetes; Hypocreales; Ophiocordycipitaceae
Description: partial contains 5.8S ribosomal RNA, internal transcribed spacer 2, and large subunit ribosomal RNA
Source: RNAcentral